UACGUAGGGGGCAAGCGUUGUCCGGAUUUAUUGGGCGUAAAGAGCGUGUAGGCGGUUUGGUAGGUCCGCUGUGAAAACUGGAGGCUUAACCUCCAGACGUCGAUGGAAACCGUAUGGCUAGAGUCCGGAAGAGGAGAGUGGAAUUCCUGGUGUAGCGGUGAAAUGCGCAGAUAUCAGGAAGAACACCCGUGGCGAAGGCGGCUCUCUGGGACGGUACUGACGCUGAGACGCGAAAGCGUGGGGAGCGAACAGG
RNAcentral lists this ribosomal RNA (253 nucleotides) under uncultured bacterium. RNAcentral describes it as "partial 16S ribosomal RNA". It matches the Rfam family "Bacterial small subunit ribosomal RNA", at positions 524 to 776 of the family's 1533-position model. The record is from RNAcentral.